GGCCGGUUAGCUCAGUUGGUUAGAGCGUGGUGCUAAUAACGCCAAGGUCGUGGGUUCGGUCCCCGUACGGGCCA
This 74-nucleotide transfer RNA is filed under the name Loxodonta africana (African savanna elephant). RNAcentral's name for it is "tRNA-Ile (AAT) (tRNA-Ile-AAT-12-1)". It matches the Rfam family "tRNA". Rfam says of the family: Transfer RNA (tRNA) molecules are approximately 80 nucleotides in length. Their secondary structure includes four short double-helical elements and three loops (D, anti-codon, and T loops). The record is from Rfam by way of RNAcentral. Lineage: Eukaryota; Metazoa; Chordata; Mammalia; Proboscidea; Elephantidae.